RNAcentral lists this ribosomal RNA (253 nucleotides) under uncultured bacterium. RNAcentral's name for it is "partial 16S ribosomal RNA". It matches the Rfam family "Bacterial small subunit ribosomal RNA", at positions 524 to 776 of the family's 1533-position model. The record is from RNAcentral.
UACGUAGGGGGCAAGCGUUGUCCGGAAUUAUUGGGCGUAAAGAGCUCGUAGGCGGUUUGUUGCGUCGGCUGUGAAAUCCCGAGGCUCAACCUCGGGUCUGCAGUCGAUACGAGCAAACUAGAGUGUUGCAGGGGAGACUGGAAUUCCUGGUGUAGCGGUGAAAUGCGCAGAUAUCAGGAGGAACACCGGUGGCGAAGGCGGGUCUCUGGGCAACAACUGACGCUGAGGAACGAAAGCCAGGGUAGCGAACGGG